AUUGAACGCUGGCGGCAUGCCUUACACAUGCAAGUCGAACGGCAGCACGGGAGCUUGCUCCUGGUGGCGAGUGGCGAACGGGUGAGUAAUACAUCGGAACGUACCCUGAAGUGGGGGAUAACGUAGCGAAAGUUACGCUAAUACCGCAUAUUCUGUGAGCAGGAAAGAGGGGGAUCGCAAGACCUCUUGCUUUAGGAGCGGCCGAUGUCGGAUUAGCUAGUUGGUGAGGUAAAGGCUCACCAAGGCGACGAUCCGUAGCGGGUCUGAGAGGAUGAUCCGCCACACUGGGACUGAGACACGGCCCAGACUCCUACGGGAGGCAGCAGUGGGGAAUCUUGCGCAAUGGGCGAAAGCCUGACGCAGCAACGCCGCGUGGGGGAUGAAGGCUCUCGGGUUGUAGACCCCUUUCAGCAGGGACGAAUCAAGACGGUACCUGCAGAAGAAGCCCCGGCUAACUACGUGCCAGCAGCCGCGGUAAU
This 479-nucleotide ribosomal RNA is filed under the name uncultured bacterium. RNAcentral's name for it is "bacterial SSU rRNA". It matches the Rfam family "Bacterial small subunit ribosomal RNA", at positions 29 to 524 of the family's 1533-position model. The record is from RNAcentral.